GUCGGGAUAGCUCAGUUGGUAGAGCAGAGGACUGAAAAUUCUUGUGUCACCAGUUCAAAUCUGGUUCCUGGCA
This 73-nucleotide transfer RNA is filed under the name Orobanche austrohispanica. RNAcentral's name for it is "tRNA-Phe". It matches the Rfam family "tRNA". From Rfam's summary of the family: Transfer RNA (tRNA) molecules are approximately 80 nucleotides in length. Their secondary structure includes four short double-helical elements and three loops (D, anti-codon, and T loops). Lineage: Eukaryota; Viridiplantae; Streptophyta; Magnoliopsida; Lamiales; Orobanchaceae. The record is from RNAcentral.